RNAcentral lists this small nuclear RNA (105 nucleotides) under Physeter macrocephalus (sperm whale). Lineage: Eukaryota; Metazoa; Chordata; Mammalia; Artiodactyla; Physeteridae. The record is from RNAcentral.
GUGCUCACUUUGGCAGCACACAUACUAAAAUUGAAACGAUACAAAAGAUUAGCAUGGCCCCUGCGCAAGGAUGAUACGCAAAUUCGUGAAGCGUUCCAUAUUUUU